CCUCGCCCAACCAAGCGUCAGCCUCCACUUCCCCUGCUCUCGUGACUUCCCCCAACUCCCUUUGCUACAAUGGAGAACCCCCAACUCCUCCUGCUUCUGAGCGAAACCCCUCUCCCCCAUCCCCUCUACUUCAGCGCAAUACCCCUCUCCACCGCCGCUGCUCUGCUACCCACUUCACUCCCUCCGAAUUCCUCAGCCAUCACCCUGCAACUUAUGUGUUGUAGGUGGUUUGCAUAAGAUUCAGUUAAGUGGUGGAUUCGAUGUUUAUUGUUGUUAUUGUAGUGCCAUCAUUGCUUCUGCAGUGGUGUAUUCUGCAAUUCGCUGGGAUUUAGAUAAUUGUUUUGUGGG
Molecule: unclassified non-coding RNA, 348 nt
Filed under: Hevea brasiliensis (rubber tree)
Lineage: Eukaryota; Viridiplantae; Streptophyta; Magnoliopsida; Malpighiales; Euphorbiaceae
Source: RNAcentral